Long non-coding RNA from Musa acuminata AAA Group (dessert banana), 787 nucleotides. RefSeq lists it as uncharacterized. The record is from RefSeq and is a predicted model, not a curated record. The transcript is spliced from 2 exons. Lineage: Eukaryota; Viridiplantae; Streptophyta; Magnoliopsida; Zingiberales; Musaceae.
UCUAUAAGUAGCACGCGGCGGCCCCCUGUCAGUUAUUUCCCUCGGACGACGAUGCAUCUCUUCGUUGAGCGAUCGAGACAGCGCGACGGAGAUCGUCCGACGAGAGGGCGAUUCCAUCGCCUCAAAUGGAGUUUCCACUAAUUCGAUCUCUUUCAAGAAACAAGAAAGAAGAACGUUGAUUGCCCUUGUUCGAUCUUAGGAUCCAUCUUUCUCCUUUCGCAGCUCGGUUGUGACCACCAAAUCCCUCGCGGCGCCCGUCAAAUCAGCCAUCGACAAGAUCCAGGUCCGCGCCGCCUUCUUGAGGGUGCGAGGGCUGGUGAAGCAACCCAUCGAUUCUUUUCGUUACUUCGUCAACCAUGAAAUCAAGAACAUGAAAGCCAUCGAUCUCCUCGUCUGCCGUCAUGAGCCCAGCUUCUAUCACAGCCAAACACACGGCGUAACUCUUGAAACACUUAGUUCUUUGAUUUUCUUUGGUUUUUAACGAAUCGAUCAAUUUUUUCUUCUCUUUUUUUCUUAUAUUGUGGAUUUUCUUGAUUUACGUUCACCGACAUUGAAUUCGGGGAGCCUUGAGAAGGUGUGAUUUCUCCAUCUAGACUGUUACUCCACAUCUGUUACGUCUUUCCGACGGAACGUGUGUUAUGUUUCCUCUCCUACCUGUUUUUGGUUAGGGAGUCCCAAAUGUCAAAUCAGUUGCGUCAAUGAUGCGGUUGUUUGAACUUUUGGUACUGUCUUUUGGACAAGUAGUUCGAUUAAAGAAAUGGGUAUAUAGUGACCUCGUUCUUCUGUA